This 468-nucleotide ribosomal RNA is filed under the name uncultured bacterium. RNAcentral describes it as "partial 16S ribosomal RNA". It matches the Rfam family "Bacterial small subunit ribosomal RNA", at positions 28 to 507 of the family's 1533-position model. The record is from RNAcentral.
GACGAACGCUGGCGGCAUGCUUAACACAUGCAAGUCGAACGGAAAGGCCCUGCUUUUGUGGGGUGCUCGAGUGGCGAACGGGUGAGUAACACGUGAGUAACCUGCCCUUGACUUUGGGAUAACUUCAGGAAACUGGGGCUAAUACCGGAUAGGAGCUCCUGCUGCACGGUGGGGGUUGGAAAGUUUCGGCGGUUGGGGAUGGACUCGCGGCUUAUCAGCUUGUUGGUGGGGUAGUGGCUUACCAAGGCUUUGACGGGUAGCCGGCCUGAGAGGGUGACCGGCCACAUUGGGACUGAGAUACGGCCCAGACUCCUACGGGAGGCAGCAGUGGGGAAUAUUGCACAAUGGGCGGAAGCCUGAUGCAGCAACGCCGCGUGCGGGAUGACGGCCUUCGGGUUGUAAACCGCUUUCGCCUGUGACGAAGCGUGAGUGACGGUAAUGGGUAAAGAAGCACCGGCUAACUACGUG